Molecule: ribosomal RNA, 968 nt
Filed under: Enterococcus faecium
Lineage: Bacteria; Bacillati; Bacillota; Bacilli; Lactobacillales; Enterococcaceae
Description: partial 23S ribosomal RNA
Rfam family: Bacterial large subunit ribosomal RNA
Source: RNAcentral
CCAACAUCUUUAAUAGGAUGUUACGAUUGUGUGAAUACAUAGCACAUUCGAGGUAGACGCAGAGAACUGAAACAUCUAAGUACCUGCAGGAAGAGAAAGAAAAUUCGAUUCCCUGAGUAGCGGCGAGCGAAACGGGAAAAGCCCAAACCAGCAAGCUUGCUUGUUGGGGUUGUAGGACUCCAAUAUGGUAGUUCUUUCAGAUAGUCGAAUGACUUGGAAAAGUCAGUCAAAGAGGGUAAAAACCCCGUAGACGAAAUGUGGAAGACACCUAGGAGGAUCCUGAGUACGGCGGAACACGAGAAAUUCCGUCGGAAUCCGGGAGGACCAUCUCCCAAGGCUAAAUACUCCCUAGUGACCGAUAGUGAACCAGUACCGUGAGGGAAAGGUGAAAAGCACCCCGGAAGGGGAGUGAAAUAGAACCUGAAACCGUGUGCCUACAACAAGUCAAAGCCCGUUAAUGGGUGAUGGCGUGCCUUUUGUAGAAUGAACCGGCGAGUUACGAUUGCAUGCGAGGUUAAGUUGAAGAGACGGAGCCGCAGCGAAAGCGAGUCUGAAUAGGGCGUUUGAGUAUGUAGUCGUAGACCCGAAACCAUGUGAUCUACCCAUGUCCAGGUUGAAGGUGCGGUAAAACGCACUGGAGGACCGAACCCACGUACGUUGAAAAGUGCGGGGAUGAGGUGUGGGUAGCGGAGAAAUUCCAAACGAACUUGGAGAUAGCUGGUUCUCUCCGAAAUAGCUUUAGGGCUAGCCUCGGAAUUGAGAAUGAUGGAGGUAGAGCACUGUUUGGACUAGGGGCCCAUCUCGGGUUACCGAAUUCAGAUAAACUCCGAAUGCCAUUCAUUCAUAUCCGGGAGUCAGACUGUGAGUGAUAAGAUCCAUAGUCGAAAGGGAAACAGCCCAGACCACCAGCUAAGGUCCCAAAAUAUAUGUUAAGUGGAAAAGGAUGUGGGGUUGCACAGACAACUAGG